GGCUGAUACAGGGGGAGAGGGGAAAUCGGAGUGGGUGUGGAUGUUCCUCGCAGGGCCCCGCGGGGUAACCUAUGCCCAACUCAUUCCCAAGUGGGCUCCGAGGCAGGCGCUGUUGGGUCUCUUGGGACCGAAGCCGCCUGCAGGGUGGUCUGAGGCAAGUCUCCCACCUCUGUAGACAGGCGGGCCCUCCGGGAGCUUCCGGUCCGGUUAGGAGCCACGUGGAUGUAAGAAUCUGAGAAGUGAACGUUAGUGCUGUGCUGGGAGGCUGAAAUGUUGGGAACUAGACCUGGGCAGGGAGGUCAGGGAUGGUCUCCCAAGGAAGUCACCUCUGUUGAGAUCUGAGUGACCGGCAGCAGCGCGCCAGAUGAGGAGGAAGGGAAGUGCAGCCCUGGGAACAGAGGAGGAUGGUGGCUAGGCCAGAAGGUUGAGCGGGCUGGGGCAUGGCCGGAAUGGGAGCGAGGCGGUUCCCCGCGAGGCCUCGCAGACCUCGCCGAGAGCAAGGGAUACAGAAGAAAAUUUAUUGUAUUGGCAGAUUGGAUGAGAAGUUAAUACGUGAAGAUGGUCUUCUCUUCAUUCCAUUUGAUAUUGAGUCCCUCGUCAUGCCCACAUAUUUGAACAUGGAUUGCUAUGGAAGAACAGCCAUGAGUCAGCUUGCUGAGUCUGAUUGGUCCAAGGGCUUCCUGGCACACUGAACCCCAGUCAUGUAGAACCCCAGCUCUGUAGAAGAGGAGCAGCUAUCACAGCAGUUUGAGUAAUUGCAGACAAAGGUGAAGCAAGAAGAGAACAAUAUCAACAACAACUAGCAAUGAUAAAAAACAACCUACAUUUACCUGGCACUUUUUUUUUUUUCUUUUUCUUUUUUUUUUUUUUGAUGGAGUUUCGCUCUUGUUGUCCAGGCUGGAGUGCAAUGGUACUAUCUUGGCUCAUUGCAACCUCCGCCUCCCGGGUUCAAGCGAUUCUCUUGCCUCAGCCUCCUGAGUAGCUGGGAUUACAGCUGCCCACCACCACGCCCGGCUAAUUUUUGUAUUUUUAGUAGAGAUGGAUUUUCGUCAUGUUGGCCAGGCUGGUCUCGAACUCCUGACCUCAGGGGAUCUGCCCACCUCAGCCUCCCAAAGUGCUGGGAUUACAGGCAUGAGUCACUGCGCCUAACCUAUCUGGCACCUUUAUGACCUGGGAAGUUUUGCAGUUUUAUUCUCUGUUAAAUGCAUAUCUGUU
RNAcentral lists this long non-coding RNA (1215 nucleotides) under Macaca mulatta (Rhesus monkey). Its description in RNAcentral is "lncRNA (ENSMMUG00000059452.1)". The record is from RNAcentral. Lineage: Eukaryota; Metazoa; Chordata; Mammalia; Primates; Cercopithecidae.